Long non-coding RNA from Heterocephalus glaber (naked mole-rat), 417 nucleotides. The record is from Ensembl. NCBI's taxonomy places the organism in Eukaryota, Metazoa, Chordata, Mammalia, Rodentia, Bathyergidae.
AUCUGAAGGUGCCCUGCUUAUCUGCAGGCUCGUGCUGCCAUGAGUUCCUCAAUCACAGAGAGGCUCAUGUCGCUGGGAGCGAGGGCUCCUCACCCAGAAACCACGCAGAACUGGGUCCCCCAGCAGCCCUGUCAGUGAAGAAGCUGGGAAGCAAUCUUCCCUCUCUCAAUGAUGCAGAGUGGAGAAAUGUCUGGAGCAUCCAAUCAGUCAUUCUGAGUCCCAGUGGGGCCUUCCUGUCUAGGAUGCCAGUGGCUCUGCUUCAGGAACUGCUUGUGCUGUACUCUACCUGUAGCAAGUCUUCAUCCCCCUGAAAACAAUUAGAAGCUAUCGAGGAUGGUGAACACAGCAGAACCGGGGAUUGAACUCAGGACCUUGUGCUUGCCAGGCAGGUGCAGCACCACUGAGCUAAAUCACUGG